Molecule: ribosomal RNA, 447 nt
Filed under: uncultured bacterium
Lineage: Bacteria
Description: partial 16S ribosomal RNA
Rfam family: Bacterial small subunit ribosomal RNA
Source: RNAcentral
AGCGAACGCUGGCGGCAGGCUUAACACAUGCAAGUCGAACGGUCCUUCGGGAUAGUGGCGGACGGGUGAGUAACACGUGGGAACGUACCCUUAGGUUCGGAACAACACAGGGAAACUUGUGCUAAUACCGGAUAAGCCCUUCGGGGGAAAGAUUUAUCGCCUUUGGAGCGGCCCGCGUCUGAUUAGCUUGUUGGUGAGGUAAUGGCUCACCAAGGCUACGAUCAGUAGCUGGUCUGAGAGGAUGGCCAGCCACACUGGGACUGAGACACGGCCCAGACUCCUACGGGAGGCAGCAGUGGGGAAUCUUGCGCAAUGGGCGAAAGCCUGACGCAGCCAUGCCGCGUGGAUGAUGAAGGUCUUAGGAUUGUAAAAUCCUUUCACCGGGGACGAUAAUGACGGUACCCGGAGAAGAAGCCCCGGCUGACUUCGUGCCAGCAGCCGCAGUAA